CUAAUAUACAAGCUUUGAUUUAGCAGGCGGUGAGAAUGUAACGCCCCCGCUAACUGUCGUAUUUUCAAAUACCACGAUAAGAAUCAAGUUUUCUUAGUCUGUGUUCAACUUUAACAAAAUGAGUCCCAUGUUAACUUUCAUCUCUGCCAUGCUUUUAGUUGCUGUGUCCAAUGCCAGAUCUUUUGGGUCGAAUUCAGGUUGGAAAUUAGGCGAUAAGGGAUCAGAAUUACUGCACCGACAAAUUUACCAAACUCAUAGACUGUUAUCAGAUUUUGAAUACCCGUCCUCUAAGGAUAUUUUUACAGACUCAAAACGGAGCAGUAUUUCUUUAUUACAAAAUAAAAGAGGCAGUUUUAACGAUCUUAUUCAGAGAUUAUUGGCGCUGCGUGGUGAAAUCCGAUCAAAUGCUAGAAAAUCACAAAUGAGAUUUGGAGGAGGCAGGCGAUAAUUUUGACACGUGACCUUUAUGUGACGUCAUCUACUCAUCCACUGUGAAAAUAUGUGAAUCCAUCGAGUGCUUUAAAUCGGAAAACGUUUAUGUUUUAUUCGUUUAUAUAUAUAUAUAAUUUUUUGUUUUCGUUGGGCGUCUUGAAUAUGUUAGUUAAUCUAGUUAAGCAUUCACAUUCCUUUUUCAUACUGUUAAAAUUUACACCCACCGUCUGACAGCAUCCUCAACAAGGUCGUGCUUAGCUGAACUAUUAUCCUGACCUUUCACCCUUGAUUGAUUUUAUCCAAUCAGGCUUGGACAGGAAUAGUUUUAUCCAAUCAGCAAAUGGAAACGAAGGCUAAUAAAGAAGAUGUCGGGUCUUCGUGUAGCGUCGACCAAACAUAAUUUUAAAUCUAAACAAAAUCAAAUUUUAGAUAGAUAGGUCUGUUUAGACAGUGUUACCUUUCUAAUAAGACCGGUUCUAAACACUCCAUAUACCGGACAAUUGAAUGUAUUGAUUUAGCAAUGAUUUAGUAUACUUACCUGAGUAUUGCAUUAGGAAAGGUAAAAUUGUGUUAAAUGUCAUUAUGUAAUUAAAACCUUUGUUAUUAAAAUGUUAACAAAAUUAAGAA
Molecule: long non-coding RNA, 1059 nt
Organism: Patella vulgata (common limpet)
Lineage: Eukaryota; Metazoa; Mollusca; Gastropoda; Patellidae
Exons: 3
Source: RefSeq, a predicted model, not a curated record